Molecule: ribosomal RNA, 253 nt
Filed under: uncultured bacterium
Lineage: Bacteria
Description: partial 16S ribosomal RNA
Rfam family: Bacterial small subunit ribosomal RNA
Source: RNAcentral
GACGAACCGUGCGAACGUUGUUCGGAAUCACUGGGCUUAAAGGGCGCGUAGGCGGGCUGCCAAGUCUGGGGUGAAAUCCCACGGCUCAACCGUGGAACUGCCUCGGAUACUGGCGGCCUCGAGGGGGGUAGGGGCAUGCGGAAUUGUGGGUGGAGCGGUGAAAUGCGUUGAUAUCCACAGGAACUCCGGUGGCGAAGGCGGCAUGCUGGACCUCUACUGACGCUGAGGCGCGAAAGCCAGGGGAGCAAACGGG